RNAcentral lists this non-coding RNA (66 nucleotides) under Ruminococcaceae bacterium OttesenSCG-928-D13. Lineage: Bacteria; Bacillati; Bacillota; Clostridia; Eubacteriales; Oscillospiraceae. The record is from RNAcentral.
UGCCGAAACGGGCCGGAUGGCCCGUCCACCGAGGGUGGCCGCUCGGUGCUGAUGAGGUGGCCGCGA